GAAAGUCUCCUCACAACUGGCUAAGUCCUAUUUUGAUUCAAAAAUGACAUAUACUUCAAUGAAUUUAUGACAUGGAAUUUGCACACACCAUCAAACUACUCAUGUUAAGUCUAGAAGAGCGAUAAAGUGUACCUUGAAAUGCCGACACUAAUUCUUAUCAUCACCACUCAAAGUGUCCUAUGCUUCUUUCUUUGCGAUCAUUUCUCGGUUGCUUAAAGCUUGACUUAUGAGUAAGAACAAUUAAACAAAAAUGUUGGAAAACCAAUAUUUGAUUAAA
This 277-nucleotide long non-coding RNA is filed under the name Lathyrus oleraceus (garden pea). Its description in RNAcentral is "Pisum sativum (pea) long non-coding RNA (PSAT_LNC020469)". Lineage: Eukaryota; Viridiplantae; Streptophyta; Magnoliopsida; Fabales; Fabaceae. The record is from RNAcentral.